Molecule: long non-coding RNA, 260 nt
Organism: Trichomycterus rosablanca
Lineage: Eukaryota; Metazoa; Chordata; Actinopteri; Siluriformes; Trichomycteridae
Exons: 3
Source: RefSeq, a predicted model, not a curated record
AGGUACAGAGGUGUAACAGUACAGAAAUGUCAUUAUCUAAUGUUCAGGUUAUUAAUCAAAAGUGUUCGAGCAGACUGAGAGCAGUUGGACAUCUCCGGUCUCAUCAAAAGGUCUCAGUCUCAUCAGAGGGGCCAGUUCAUCAUUUCGUCAUCUACAUCACAUCAGCUAAAUAUCUCCGGAGGUGGAACUUACCUCAGGAGGAGAGCGAGAGUAAAAGUGAGAGAGAGAGAGAGAGAGAGAGAGACCGAAAGGAAUGAAUA